CCUCGGAGUACUGGGGAUGAGGGGUGAGCGUCCGGGCAGCAGGCGAGCCCCCAAGGCUGGCCCGCUGACACCGCUGGCGGCAAAAAUUUCUACGGCAGUUUCUCUUGAACCAGGCAGAAAACAACCCCUGAGGCUGCUCGGUGCUCCCUAGUCUCCUGGUUUGCAUUGCACAUCCAUUUUGAGCCUGCUGCUACUGAUGAGAAAAUGACCUCAAACAACUGCCCACUAAAGGUCCCAUGUUGUGACGAUGCCGGGGGCUUUCUGCAUAGCGCUCCGCUUCUCAGACUGAGCAGCUUCUGGAGUUUUGUACAAUGCCUGGGCCUGAGGAAACCUGCCAGGAUAUUCCUGGUAGGAUGAAUGAUCACCCCCCCGUAACAGACAGAGACACCCAGAGCAGAGACAGAGUUCACACUGUGGGAUCUGACUCAAUGUUUGAAUUCUUAGGAGCUCACCACUUCAUUGGAUUUCUCAUGACUGAAAAAAAGAGACCACUAGAAUCUGGAUGAGAUGAGAAUUUAGGUGCUGUUUUAGAUUCCCCUAGAUUAGGUGGAUACCCAAAAGAGUGUGUGGAAAAACUGCAGGGAGGGCCGGGCGCGGUGGCUCAUCCCUGUAAUCCCAGCACUUCAGGAGGACGAGGCAGGCGGAUCAUCUGAGGUCAGGAGUUCGAGACCAGCCUGACCAACAUGGAGAAACCCUAUCUCUACUAAAAAUACAAAAGUACCCGGGCAUGGUGGCACAUGCCUGUAAUCCCAGCUACUCUGGAAGGCUGAGGCAGGAGAAUCGCUUGAACCCAGGAGGUGGAGGUUGCAGUGAGCCAAGAUCGCACCACUGCACUCCAGCCUGGGCAACAAGAGUGAAACUUGGUCUCAAAAAAAAAAAAAAAAAAAAAAACCUGCAGGGAGUCUGAGUCCUCUGAAAUGGGAUGAAAAAUUUAUAUGUAAAAAUUGUGUAUAUUUCCUCCAGCCCCAGGAAGAGAGCCCUGUGUAUUCUGUUGGACAGAUCUGCUGAUUUUCAAGUUUCCAAGACUCCUCCAGACUUAAGAAGUACUGUUUUAUAUUAAAUAUUUUGCAAAGAUUCACAGGGAGAUCAAGUAUUUUGCCCAAGAGCACACAGCUAGAGAGUGGAGAAGUCCGGAUUCAACCCAGACAGAUUGACUCCAGAGCGUGUGCUAUUCGUGGCUAUGCCAGAAUGCCCUGAUGGCCUCAGGUUUGCCUUGCCAACUGACAAAGGCGACUGUUUCCUACCCAUUGGCUCAGAUGGUUCCAGCUUCCUACCCUUCCAGUUAAAAUAAACAAAAACGAGGGUCUUGAGUGUCUAUGAUUUUCAUAAGAUCUAUGGCGUUUCUUCUGCAGAUGAUCAACAGUUGCCUGCCUUGGACUUUGGAGUUCCCAAGAACUAGAAAAUCCAGGUCAGGAACUGUAUCUUUGCUCAGCCACCUGCAAACAGACUUGAGAACAAUGUAAACCACCCUCUGCAGGAUAUUGAUUCUGAUGGAGUAAAUGUUGAUUAAGCAG
Molecule: long non-coding RNA, 1514 nt
Filed under: Homo sapiens (human)
Lineage: Eukaryota; Metazoa; Chordata; Mammalia; Primates; Hominidae
Description: HSALNT0347953
Source: RNAcentral